CAAUUUCCUCGUGAAGAUACCAUUUACUGAUGAGACGAUAUUUAGUAAAUGUGGAAUAACAAAUAUACGUAACGAAUAUUUCCGGGCACGCGAAAAUUCACAGCCAUUAAGAGAUAGUUCGUGCAGGAUGGUGCACCACCACAUUCUACCAACGCCGUAUAAGAGCGUUUGAUCAGCUGUUUUGGAAACAGUACUGGGGAUACACGAAGACACAAUACAGUAAAAUUUUAAGAGAACAGUCAGGCUCUGUUUACAAGAGAACGGAGGACGUUUCGAACAUCGUAAGUUGUAAGUUGUGUUUUUUGUGGACACUCGCAGCCGAGAUAAUCGCGGUGCGUGUGUGGUUUUGUUAUGGACGAUCCCUACGACUUGUACGAGAUAAGCUGCCGAAAUACGUAUCGUUCGGAUUGAGGAUCACCAGAUCAGAAAGAUCUAUCUAUAUUAGAUUUCGAAAUUAUGUUGGAUAAGCUAAAUAAGAUAAAAUUCCAUAAUGACCGAUUCGGUGGAGAUAUUAAUGGUGCGUAUAAAUAUAAACGUAACAAAAUCCACUCUUUUUUUUUAUACGUGGAGAAAUCCUCAUAGCUAUCGCGCUUCGCAUCUACCCACCUAUUUUACAACGUAGUCAAGUGUACGCUUGUUCGAAGAGUCUUUAAUUUUGAUUUACUCGGCGAUAAAGCUUCCUAUGGAAAAAUAUUACUGUACUAACGUCACCAGUUUGGAAACACUUUACACAAAAAAGCAUAUUAAUUUUAAAAGGUAAACUGCAGCAAAGAGCGAUAAAUUUCUAUGGCUUUAAUUAAGCUUUUGUUAUUUUAAUUACUUGCUUUGUUAAAAUAAGUCUUACUUGAAAGAUGUUUGAGAGAUCACGUAGAUUAAAUACGUAAUGAAAUUUGACUGCCGUUGGUAGGAAUGUUGUUGAAAUUUUGUGGUGACAGUACAAUGCCGCAUUUAAUAAUGAUUCUGCAAUUUUUGUCAGCGCUAAGUUAAAUUUGUUGAUAGGAUUCAUCAGGUGUUGGUCUAGCAUUUGGCUGUAGAUCAAUACUAGAUUGUCUUCGGUUGGAAAACUGCAAUAAAAGAUUUUCAGUUGAUAGAAAAAGAUGUUUGUAAUAAUAACUUACAUAUAAGUUAUAUUUCCAAAAAUCUUAUAUACAUAUUCUAUAUCAUAUACAGGGUGAUGCACGUAAAUCAUGACAACUGAAUAUUUUCUUUUUUUAUUAUUAUUAUUUAACUUGUACUUUACAAUUUGUCCAGGUGAACAUUUGUUAAAUUUUUCUAGCUUUAUUGCUAUAUAACACGUGGAUGGCUACCUCCAGCAGGAUACCACCUUCCAGUUUGUUUAUUUUAUUUCUUUAGCGAGGUCAGUGGGAUGUUUUCUUUUCAGUCGCCUUUUUUAUAUGGGUUUCGCUCGUGUCAGCAGUCAACUUAUUUGAACGUGUUGCCGUUAUUUUCUUGUUUUUUUUUUACGU
RNAcentral lists this unclassified non-coding RNA (1466 nucleotides) under Bombus terrestris (buff-tailed bumblebee). RNAcentral describes it as "misc RNA ENSBTSG00005030293.1". Lineage: Eukaryota; Metazoa; Arthropoda; Insecta; Hymenoptera; Apidae. The record is from RNAcentral.